GAUUAACGCUGGGGGCAUGCUUUACACAUGCAAGUCGAACGGUAACAGGCCGCAAGGUGCUGACGAGUGGCGAACGGGUGAGUAAUGCAUCGGAACGUGCCCAGUCGUGGGGGAUAACGCAGCGAAAGCUGUGCUAAUACCGCAUACGAUCUAUGGAUGAAAGCGGGGGACCGUAAGGCCUCGCGCGAUUGGAGCGGCCGAUGUCAGAUUAGGUAGUUGGUGGGGUAAAGGCUCACCAAGCCAACGAUCUGUGGCUGGUCUGAGAGGACGACCAGCCAGACUGGGACUGAGACACGGCCCAGGCGCCUACGGGAGGCAGCAGUGGGGAAUUUUGGACAAUGGGCGCAAGCCUGAUCCAGCAAUGCCGCGUGCAGGAAGAAGGCCUUCGGGUUGUAAACUGCUUUUGUACGGAACGAAAAGGUUUGGGUUAAUACCCUGGGCCGAUGACGGUACCGUAAGAAUAAGCACCGGCUAACUACGUGCCAGCAGCCGCCGUAA
Molecule: ribosomal RNA, 498 nt
Filed under: uncultured bacterium
Lineage: Bacteria
Description: partial 16S ribosomal RNA
Rfam family: Bacterial small subunit ribosomal RNA
Source: RNAcentral